GACGUAGGGCGCAAGCGUUGUCCGGAUUUAUUGGGCGUAAAGAGCUCGUAGGCGGCCUGUCGCGUCGACCGUGAAAACCCGCAGCUCAACUGCGGGCUUGCGGUCGAUACGGGCAGGCUGGAGUUCGGUAGGGGAGACUGGAAUUCCUGGUGUAGCGGUGAAAUGCGCAGAUAUCAGGAGGAACACCAAUAGCGAAGGCAGCUCGCUGGGACGUUACUGACACUGAGGCGCGAAAGCGUGGGGAGCGAACAGG
This 253-nucleotide ribosomal RNA is filed under the name uncultured bacterium. RNAcentral's name for it is "partial 16S ribosomal RNA". It matches the Rfam family "Bacterial small subunit ribosomal RNA", at positions 524 to 776 of the family's 1533-position model. The record is from RNAcentral.